UACGUAGGGUGCGAGCGUUGUCCGGAUUUAUUGGGCGUAAAGAGCUUGUAGGCGGCUCGUCACGUCGGGUGUGAAAACUCGCGGCUCAACCGCGAGCCUGCACCCGAUACGGGCGGGCUGGAGUUCGGCAGGGGAGACUGGAAUUCCUGGUGUAGCGGUGGAAUGCGCAGAUAUCAGGAGGAACACCGGUGGCGAAGGCGGGUCUCUGGGCCGAUACUGACGCUGAGAAGCGAAAGCGUGGGGAGCGAACAGG
This 253-nucleotide ribosomal RNA is filed under the name uncultured bacterium. RNAcentral describes it as "partial 16S ribosomal RNA". It matches the Rfam family "Bacterial small subunit ribosomal RNA", at positions 524 to 776 of the family's 1533-position model. The record is from RNAcentral.